GGAGAGGUGGCAGAGUGGUUGAAUGCGGCAGUCUCGAAAACUGCUUUGGCGGCAACGUCAACGUGGGUUCAAAUCCCACCCUCUCCG
RNAcentral lists this transfer RNA (87 nucleotides) under Aphanothece sp. CMT-3BRIN-NPC111. RNAcentral's name for it is "tRNA-Ser". It matches the Rfam family "tRNA". Rfam says of the family: Transfer RNA (tRNA) molecules are approximately 80 nucleotides in length. Their secondary structure includes four short double-helical elements and three loops (D, anti-codon, and T loops). Lineage: Bacteria; Bacillati; Cyanobacteriota; Cyanophyceae; Chroococcales; Aphanothecaceae. The record is from RNAcentral.